AUGCUCCGAGUAGCUAACUACCAAACUGCCUUAGGAGCUUACCAGAAGCAGUUGUGGUUGAAGAUCCUUCCAGGUCUGCAGCUGUUGCCCGAGGAUGUUAAACAAGGCUACCUCAAUACUUUUGAGGAAGCCCAAACUGUCUCAAAACAUCAGAGAAUUGCUACACGGCACUCGGUUGACGCUGCAGCCCGAAUUCUCGUUUCUUCUGUCACUCUCCGUAGGCAUGCGUGGCUUCGUUCGGCCAACACCCUUGAUGAUGUGAAGACUAAGAUAGAAGAUUUACCCUUUGAUGCUUCAGGUCUGUUUAGUGAAAAGACAGACGGUCACCUUGAGGAAUUGCAUAAAGCCAAAAAGACAGCCAAAUCGUAUUACAUUCAGCCUCAACCAAAGUUUAAUAGAUAUCAAUGGAAGAAACCCUCCAACCAGUUUAACCAGCCACAGCAAUUCAGGCAGUUUAAAACUCAGUCUCAACCCAGAUCUUCACAAGGCGCUUCCUCCACCUCUACCUGUCGCAGCCAAUCUUCUCAACAGUGUCAAUCAUAUAAGACCCCUGCUAAAAGCAUAAGCAGUAUCUUUGACUCGCCGGAUCCUCUUCCAAUUCCCGCUCCCGUGGCAAGGCUACAACCAUUCUAUUCAAACUGGUUCACCAUCACAACCGACUCAUGGGUUCUUCGCAUUGUCCGUUCCGGCUAUCGCCUGGAAUUUAUCGAAUAUUCUCCUCUAGGUCUCGUAGAACAUACUUCAUUCAACCCUGCCUUAGAGGAGGAAGUUCAUUCAUUACUAGGAAAGCAUGCCAUUCAAAAGGUUCCCAAAAGAGACAUUUUAAACGGCUUUUAUUCAAGAUAUUUCGCCGUUCCCAAAAAAGGUGGAGGCAUAAGACCCAUAAUGGACCUAAGAAUACUAAAUACUUACUUUCGCCCUCGCAGAUUUCGCAUGGUAACCUUAGAGUCCAUCAUCCACCUACUAAAGCAAGGCGAUUGGUUCAUGGUCAUAGACUUGAAAGACGCGUAUUUUCACAUUUCAAUUCAUCCCAAACAUCGCAAAUUCCUCAGGUUUAUUUUUCAGGACACCAUUUAUCAGUACCUGGCCCUCCCGUUCGGCCUUGCGACGGCCCCCAGGACAUUCACGAAAUGCAUGGCCCCGGUUGCAGCUUACCUGAGACUGCACGGGGUUCGUGUAUUCCCUUACAUUGACAAUUGGCUGGUUGUCGCACCCUCCAGACACAAAGCCUUGAAGGACACAAGAUUCACUCUUCAUGUACUUCAGAACUUGGGCCUCCAAAUAAAUUACAAAAAAUUGCAUCUCGUCCCCUCUCAAACUGUGAACUACAUAGAUGCUACCUUAGAUGCUACCGAGGGCCACAUAUUUCUUCCUCAAGAACGCAUAGAGAAGAUCAUACACGCCGUAAGGAAUUUCAAGGCAGGGGCGACGGUGACCACCCUACAUGCUCAACACUUACUCGGUCUGAUGGCCUUGACAACGCUGGGCCUGGCUCAUGCACGGCUCAAGCUCAGAUCCUUGCAAGUGUGGCUGUUAGCUCUUUUCAAUCCUCUCAAGCAUCACCAAGAGCGGCGUCUCCGAGUUACGCCAGAGCUAGCACGUCAGCUGCAGUGGUGGACGUUUGCCCCUCACCUUCAAGUAGGGCGCCCCUUCUGCCCUCUUCAAUUAUCUGCCCAGGUGACCACAGAUGCAAGCCCCACAGGUUGGGGGGCACAUUGCAGCCCACAUCAUGUUCAUGCCUUGUGGUCUCCCCAAGAACAGAACUUUCAUAUCAACCAUCUGGAAAUUCUAGCCGUCAUCAAGGCUUUGAAGACAUUUCUCCCCCUAGUGCGUGGUCGUGGUGUUCAAAUAGUCACGGACAACACCACGGCCAUGCACUACAUAAACAAGCAGGGGGGCACACACUCCCACUCCCUUCUGUUUCUAACAGUAACACUCUGGGAAUGGUGCUACUGUCAUAAUGUCUUUCUAGUAGCUGUCCAUGUAUCCACGGAGGACAAUGUUCUGGCGGACGAACUCAGUCGCUGCAAUGCUCAGAUGCAUGAAUGGGAAUUGAACUCACAGGUUUUUCGCGACCUGUGCCGCCGUUGGGGCACACCGUUGGUGGACGUCUUUGCCAGCCAAGUCAACAAGAAAUGUCCCCUCUACGCCUCCAGGGUGGGUCGGGGAUUGCACUCAUUGGGAGACACCUUCAUGAUUCCCUGGACUAUGGGACUUCUUUAUCUCUCCCCCCCCCCGCUUCCCCUGGUACAGAGGACUCUGGUGAAACUUCAGCAAGAGUUGGCUGACGCGAUCCUUGUGGCUCCCCUCUGGCCUCGGCAGUCCUGGUUCCCAACCUUGACAUCGCUGGCAGUGGAUUCCGUGACACUACCAAUCUUUCCAGCUCUUCUAACUCAGGACGGGGGCAAAAUCUUCCACCCCGAUCUGCAGACACUUCAUGUUGCAGCGUGGAGGAUAUUCCCGAAAUAA
This is a long non-coding RNA of Pogona vitticeps (central bearded dragon), 2469 nucleotides long. The record is from Ensembl. Lineage: Eukaryota; Metazoa; Chordata; Lepidosauria; Squamata; Agamidae.